UAGGGAAUCUUCCACAAUGGACGAAAGUCUGAUGGAGCAACGCCGCGUGAGUGAAGAAGGGUUUCGGCUCGUAAAACUCUGUUGUUAAAGAAGAACAUAUCUGAGAGUAACUGUUCAUACGUUGACGGUAUUUAACCAGAAAGUCACGGCUAACUACGUGCCAA
RNAcentral lists this ribosomal RNA (164 nucleotides) under uncultured bacterium. RNAcentral describes it as "partial 16S ribosomal RNA". It matches the Rfam family "Bacterial small subunit ribosomal RNA", at positions 355 to 511 of the family's 1533-position model. The record is from RNAcentral.